This 83-nucleotide signal recognition particle RNA is filed under the name Bacilli bacterium. Its description in RNAcentral is "signal recognition particle sRNA small type". It matches the Rfam family "Bacterial small signal recognition particle RNA". From Rfam's summary of the family: The signal recognition particle (SRP) is a universally conserved ribonucleoprotein involved in the co-translational targeting of proteins to membranes. Archaeal SRP consists of a 7S RNA and homologues of the eukaryotic SRP19 and SRP54 proteins. The record is from RNAcentral. Lineage: Bacteria; Bacillati; Bacillota; Bacilli.
UUAUUUGUGCAAUAUUUAUGCAAUAAACUGGUCAGAUUCGGAAGAAAGCAGCCACAUUUGCCUCUGAAUAUGUGCACUUUUUU